GGUAGUAUGGCUGAUUUAAAGCGGUAAUCUGUAAAAUUAUAAAUAGGGUAUCCCUUGCUGCCA
Molecule: transfer RNA, 63 nt
Filed under: Ptyas dhumnades
Lineage: Eukaryota; Metazoa; Chordata; Lepidosauria; Squamata; Colubridae
Description: tRNA-Tyr
Source: RNAcentral